AUUGAACGCUGGCGGCAUGCUUAACACAUGCCAGUCGAACGGUAACAGGCCACGAGCUGCUGCCGAGUGGCGGCCGGGUGCGGACUGGAUCGGAACGUGCCCGGACGUGCUGUUUCGCGACGCGUAAGGGUAGCUAAUACCGCAUACGACCUCUGGCUGACAGCGGGGGAACGCAGGGGAUCUUCCGAUCUGACGCGCCUGUGUGAGCUGAUGUCGGAUUAGCUAGUUGGUGGGGUAAAGGCCCACCAAGGCGACGAUCCGUAGCUGGUCUGAGAGGACGAUCAGCCACACUGGAACUGAGACACGGUCCAGACUCCUACGGGAGGCAGCAGUGGGGAAUAUUGGACAAUGGGCGCAAGCCUGAUCCAGCCAUGCCGCGUGGGUGAAGAAGGCCUUCGGGUUGUAAACUGCUUUUGUAGGGAAAGAAACGCCGCUGGUUAAUACCCGGCGCUACUGACGGUACCGUAAGAAUAAGCACCGGCUAACUACGUG
Molecule: ribosomal RNA, 492 nt
Filed under: uncultured bacterium
Lineage: Bacteria
Description: partial 16S ribosomal RNA
Rfam family: Bacterial small subunit ribosomal RNA
Source: RNAcentral